Molecule: ribosomal RNA, 193 nt
Filed under: uncultured Hydrogenophaga sp.
Lineage: Bacteria; Pseudomonadati; Pseudomonadota; Betaproteobacteria; Burkholderiales; Comamonadaceae
Description: partial 16S ribosomal RNA
Rfam family: Bacterial small subunit ribosomal RNA
Source: RNAcentral
UCCUACGGGAGGCAGCAGUGGGGAAUAUUGCACAAUGGGCGCAAGCCUGAUGCAGCCAUGCCGCGUGAGUGAUGAAGGCCUUAGGGUUGUAAACUGCUUUUGUACGGAACGAAACGGUCCGGGUUAAUACCCUGGGCUAAUGACGGUACCGUAAGAAUAAGGACCGGCUAACUACGUGCCAGCAGCCGCGGUA